Long non-coding RNA from Hyalella azteca, 256 nucleotides. RefSeq lists it as uncharacterized. NCBI's taxonomy places the organism in Eukaryota, Metazoa, Arthropoda, Malacostraca, Amphipoda, Hyalellidae. The record is from RefSeq and is a predicted model, not a curated record. The transcript has 3 exons.
AGUGUCUCCUGGUGCGGGCAAAGUCAAGUCUGAAGCCAUAGAAAUGGUUGCUGCUGCACACAACAUCAAAGAGGAGCUUGGAGAUGAGACUGAGGAUGUAACUGUGAAGGAGGAACCAUUCCUGUAUGAUGAGGCUUGUUCAGUUGAACAUCUCAGCCCCCCACCUCCACCCUCAUCUUGGGUGCCAUGUAAGACGGAAGCUCAGGUUGAGGCUCCCAAUGCCAACCAAAUCUCACCACCACACACUUCUACCCUG